This 460-nucleotide ribosomal RNA is filed under the name uncultured bacterium. RNAcentral's name for it is "partial 16S ribosomal RNA". It matches the Rfam family "Bacterial small subunit ribosomal RNA", at positions 338 to 795 of the family's 1533-position model. The record is from RNAcentral.
CCUACGGGUGGCAGCAGUGAGGAAUAUUGGUCAAUGGACGAAAGUCUGAACCAGCCAAGUAGCGUGAAGGAUGACUGCCCUAUGGGUUGUAAACUUCUUUUAUAUGGGAAUAAAACGUUCCACGUGUGGGAUUUUGUAUGUACCAUAUGAAUAAGGAUCGGCUAACUCCGUGCCAGCAGCCGCGGUAAUACGGAGGAUCAGAGCGUUAUCCGGAUUUAUUGGGUUUAAAGGGAGCGUAGGUGGAUUGUUAAGUCAGUUGUGAAAGUUUGCGGCUCAACCGUAAGAUUGCAGUUGAAACUGGCAGUCUUGAGUACAGUAGAGGUGGGCGGAAUUCGUGGUGUAGCGGUGAAAUGCUUAGAUAUCACGAAGAACUCCGAUUGCGAAGGCAGUUCACUGGACUGCAACUGACACUGAGGCUCGAAAGUGUGGGUAUCAAACAGGAUUAGAUACCCUUGUAGUC